GCAGUCGAACGAAAGUUUUUAACUUUAGUGGCGAACGGGUGCGUAAUACGUGCGAUUCUGCCCUUAGGAGAAGAAUAACUGCUGGAAACGGCUGCUAAAUCUUCAUAUGCCGAGAGGUGAAAUAGUUUCGACUGCCUAAGGAUGAGCUCGCGCCUGAUUAGCUUGUUGGUAAGGUAAUGGCUUACCAAGGCCACGAUCAGUAGCUGGUUUGAGAGAACGAUCAGCCACACUGGGACUGAGACACGGCCCAGACUCCUCCGGGAGGCAGCAGUGAGGAAUUUUCCGCAAUGGGCGAAAGCCUGACGGAGCAAUACCGCGUGAGGGAUGAAGGAUUUUGGUCUGUAAACCUCUUUUCUCAAGAAAGAAGUUCUGACGGUACUUGAGGAAUAAGCAUCGGCUAACUCCGUGCCAGCAGCCGCGGUAAUACGGGGGAUGCAAGCGUUAUCCGGAAUCAUUGGGCGUAAAGCGCCUGUAGGUUGUUUAAUAAGUCUGUUGUUAAAGACUAGGGCUUAACCCUAGAAAAGCAAUGGAAACUACUAGACUAGAGUAUGGCAGGGGUAGAGGGAAUUUCUAGUGUAGCGGUGAAAUGCGUAGAUAUUAGAAAGAACACCGGUGGCGAAAGCGCUCUACUGGACCAUUACUGACACUCAGAGGCGAAAGCUAGGGUAGCAAAAGGGAUUAGAUACCCCUGUAGUCCUAGCCGUAAACGAUGGAUACUAGAUGUUGUAUUUAUUUUACAGUAUCGUAGCUAACGCGUUAAGUAUCCCGCCUGGGGAGUACGCUCGCAAGGGUGAAACUCAAAGGAAUUGACGGGGGCCCGCACAAGCGGUGGAGCAUGUGGUUUAAUUCGAUGCAACGCGAAGAACCUUACCAGGGCUUGACAUACUGCGAAUCUCUUUGAAAGGAGAGAGUGCCUUCGGGAAUGCAGAUACAGGUGGUGCAUGGCUGUCGUCAGCUCGUGUCGUGAGAUGUUGGGUUAAGUCCCGCAACGAGCGCAACCCUUGUUUUUAGUUACCAAUUCGUUGGGUUUUCUAGAA
RNAcentral lists this ribosomal RNA (1037 nucleotides) under uncultured bacterium. Its description in RNAcentral is "bacterial SSU rRNA". It matches the Rfam family "Bacterial small subunit ribosomal RNA", at positions 57 to 1145 of the family's 1533-position model. The record is from RNAcentral.